RNAcentral lists this unclassified non-coding RNA (221 nucleotides) under air metagenome. Its description in RNAcentral is "partial contains small subunit ribosomal RNA, internal transcribed spacer 1, and 5.8S ribosomal RNA". The stretch from base 1 to 46 matches the Rfam family "Eukaryotic small subunit ribosomal RNA", at positions 1786 to 1831 of the family's 1831-position model. The record is from RNAcentral.
AAGUCGUAACAAGGUUUCCGUAGGUGAACCUGCGGAAGGAUCAUUAAUGAAUUUUUAGGGCGCUCUUUUUAGAGGUCCGACCAAUUUCAUUUCCACACACCGUGAACACACUUCAUUUUUACACACAAUUUAAAAACACACAAGUCUAUAAGAAUGUAUAAAGUCUCUUAAUUGAGCAUAAAGUUAUAAUACAACUUUCGGCAACGGAUCUCUUGGCUCUC